GAUGAAGAACGUAGCGAAAUGCGAUAAGUAUUGUGACUUGCAGAAUUCAGUGAAUCAUCGAAUCUUUGAACGCACAUUGCGCCCUCUGGCAUUCCGGAGAGCAUGCCUGUCCGAGCGUCAUUGCUGCCCUCAAGCACGGCUUGUGUGUUGGGCCUCCGUCCUCCUCCCGGGGGACGGGCCCGAAAGGCAGCGGCGGCACCGCGUCCGGUCCUCGAGCGUAUGGGGCUUCGUCACCCGCUCUUGUAGGCCCGGCCGGCGCUUGCCGACACAUCAAUCUUUUUUCCAGGUUGACCUCGGAUCAGGUAGGGAUACCCGCUGAACUUAAGCAUAUCAAUAAGCGGAGGA
Molecule: unclassified non-coding RNA, 345 nt
Filed under: soil metagenome
Description: partial contains 5.8S ribosomal RNA, internal transcribed spacer 2, and large subunit ribosomal RNA
Rfam family: 5.8S ribosomal RNA (bases 1-120)
Source: RNAcentral